GAUGAAGAACGCAGCGAAAUGCGAUAAGUAAUGUGUAUUGCAGAAUUCAGUGAAUCAUCGAAUCUUUGAACGCACAUUGCGCCCGCCAGUAUUCUGGCGGGCAUGCCUGUCUGAGCGUCAUUUCAACCCUCAUGCCCCUAGGGCGUGGUGUUGGGGAUCGGCCAAAGCCCGCGAGGGACGGCCGGCCCCUAAAUCUAGUGGCGGACCCGUCGUGGCCUCCUCUGCGAAGUAGUGAUAUUCCGCAUCGGAGAGCGAUGAGCCCCUGCCGUUAAACCCCCAACUUUCCAAGGUUGACCUCAGAUCAGGUAGGAAUACCCGCUGAACUUAAGCAUAUCAAUAAGCGGAGGA
RNAcentral lists this unclassified non-coding RNA (348 nucleotides) under soil metagenome. Its description in RNAcentral is "partial contains 5.8S ribosomal RNA, internal transcribed spacer 2, and large subunit ribosomal RNA". The stretch from base 1 to 120 matches the Rfam family "5.8S ribosomal RNA", at positions 35 to 154 of the family's 154-position model. The record is from RNAcentral.